Molecule: ribosomal RNA, 468 nt
Filed under: uncultured bacterium
Lineage: Bacteria
Description: partial 16S ribosomal RNA
Rfam family: Bacterial small subunit ribosomal RNA
Source: RNAcentral
GACGAACGCUGGCGGCGUGCUUAACACAUGCAAGUCGAACGGAAAGGCCCUGCUUUUGUGGGGUGCUCGAGUGGCGAACGGGUGAGUAACACGUGAGUAACCUGCCCUUGACUUUGGGAUAACUUCAGGAAACUGGGGCUAAUACCGGAUAGGAGCUCCUGCUGCAUGGUGGGGGUUGGAAAGUUUCGGCGGUUGGGGAUGGACUCGCGGCUUAUCAGCUUGUUGGUGGGGUAGUGGCUUACCAAGGCUUUGACGGGUAGCCGGCCUGAGAGGGUGACCGGCCACAUUGGGACUGAGAUACGGCCCAGACUCCUACGGGAGGCAGCAGUGGGGAAUAUUGCACAAUGGGCGGAAGCCUGAUGCAGCAACGCCGCGUGCGGGAUGACGGCCCUCGGGUUGUAAACCGCUUUCGCCUGUGACGAAGCGUGAGUGACGGUAAUGGGUAAAGAAGCACCGGCUAACUACGUG